UACGUAGGCAGCGAGCGUUGUUCGGAGUUACUGGGCGUAAAGGGUGUGUAGGCGGUUGUUUAAGUUUGGUGUGAAAUCUCCCGGCUCAACUGGGAGGGUGCGCCGAAUACUGAAUGACUUGGAGUGCGGGAGAGGAAAGUGGAAUUCCUGGUGUAGCGGUGAAAUGCGUAGAUAUCAGGAGGAACACCGGUGGUGUAGACGGCUUUCUGGACCGUGACUGACGCUGAGACGCGAAAGCGUGGGGAGCAAACAGG
This 254-nucleotide ribosomal RNA is filed under the name uncultured bacterium. Its description in RNAcentral is "partial 16S ribosomal RNA". It matches the Rfam family "Bacterial small subunit ribosomal RNA", at positions 524 to 776 of the family's 1533-position model. The record is from RNAcentral.